UGAGGAAUAUUGCGCAAUGGGCGAAAGCCUGACGCAGCGACGCCGCGUGGAGGAUGAAGGUCUUUGGAUUGUAAACUCCUGUUAAGUGGGAAGAAACGUCUAUUUUUAAUAGAAAUAGAUAAUGACGGUACCAUUAGAGAAAGCACUGGCUAACCUCGUGCCAGCAGCCGCGGUAAUACGAGGGGUGCAAGCGUUAUUCGGAAUUAUUGGGCGUAAAGGGUGCGUAGGCGGCAUACUAAGUCAACUGUUAAAUUCCUCGGCCUAACCGAGGCUCGGCAGUAGAUACUGAUAUGCUAGAGGGUGGAAGAGAGAAGUGGAAUUCUCGGAGUAGCGGUAAAAUGCGUAGAUCUCGAGAGGAACACCAAUGGCGAAGGCAGCUUCUUGGUCCACACCUGACGCUGAGGCACGAAAGCGUGGGGAGCAAACAGG
Molecule: ribosomal RNA, 429 nt
Filed under: uncultured bacterium
Lineage: Bacteria
Description: bacterial SSU rRNA
Rfam family: Bacterial small subunit ribosomal RNA
Source: RNAcentral